RNAcentral lists this transfer RNA (73 nucleotides) under Nephroselmis olivacea. Its description in RNAcentral is "tRNA-Ile". It matches the Rfam family "tRNA". From Rfam's summary of the family: Transfer RNA (tRNA) molecules are approximately 80 nucleotides in length. Lineage: Eukaryota; Viridiplantae; Chlorophyta; Nephroselmidophyceae; Nephroselmidales; Nephroselmidaceae. The record is from RNAcentral.
GCAUCCAUAGCCUAGCGGUUAAGGCAGUCGACUCAUAAUCGGAAUAUCGCUGGUUCGAAUCCAGCUGGAUGCA